AUGGUGCUUGACGAGACAAUGGACGCAGGUUCACAGAACUGGUACAUCUUUACAAGCUUCUUGCAACCUCCCUACAUGCCGGGUUGCAUAUUUGCUUGGCGUGUCACGUGGACCGUAGCUUAUGUAAGCACAUAUGACAAAUCCUUGCAUACCCCAAUCGGGCUUAUUUUUCGAUGAAGUGUUGCAUUGGGCUUGAAAAACAUUUGGGCCUUCCUUUGCAUUUUAUGGUCCUCAACAUUAGCCCCAUUGAUUAUUGGGGCCAUAGAGGGUUACUGAAAUGAGGCGAAUAAUCAAACCCCAACCCAAAAAUCAAAUCCAUGGUAGUGACGCAACCUUUCUUCUCCCGCGUGUAUGAUGACAGCAUGUCAUGAUGAUCUUCUAGCAAUCGUUUAUUCUUCCCAAGUAUUCCUGUGAUUGCAGACUUCUCUCUCCCUUUUUUCCUGAUUUUUCUUUUCAUUUUUCACCUUUUUUUUUUGUGCGUGUGAAGGAGAUAAAACCUUUUCUUCCUUUUCUUUUUUAAAAAAAAAUCUCAGCCCUCCUCUCUCAUUUCCUUCUCCGAGCGACUUAGAGCGAGAGAAAACAAAAGCAAGGAGAAACACUCAUCUACAACUGCUGGAAGGGAACCUAAGCCAAACUCCAGCUCCGCCGUUCCACGCACACACCUACGGCUGCUGGAAGGGAUCCCCUCUGCGGACUUCUCUUCCAAAAUUCCCAAUUUCUACCAUCUUCGUCCAUUUGAAGCCAGCUCAUGAAACAAGGGAUUGCCCUCUUCCUUCCCUAUUUUUUAAUCUAUUGAGGGAUAGCGAGCUUUGA
Molecule: long non-coding RNA, 813 nt
Filed under: Prunus dulcis (almond)
Lineage: Eukaryota; Viridiplantae; Streptophyta; Magnoliopsida; Rosales; Rosaceae
Description: sRNA ncRNA
Source: RNAcentral